CAGCCGCCACGGUAAUACGAAGGGUGCAAGCGUUACUCGGAAUUACUGGGCGUAAAGCGUGCGUAGGUGGUGGUUUAAGUCCGUUGUGAAAGCCCUGGGCUCAACCUGGGAAUUGCAGUGGAUACUGGGUCACUAGAGUGUGGUAGAGGAUAGUGGAAUUUCCGGUGUAGCAGUGAAAUGCGUAGAGAUCGGAAGGAACAUCUGUGGCGAAAGCGACUAUCUGGGCCAACACUGACACUGAGGCACGAAAGCGUGGGGAGCAAACAGGAUUAGAUACCCCUGUAGUCCCUGUCUCUUAUAC
This 301-nucleotide ribosomal RNA is filed under the name uncultured bacterium. RNAcentral's name for it is "partial 16S ribosomal RNA". It matches the Rfam family "Bacterial small subunit ribosomal RNA", at positions 509 to 807 of the family's 1533-position model. The record is from RNAcentral.